This 245-nucleotide ribosomal RNA is filed under the name uncultured Phenylobacterium sp. RNAcentral's name for it is "partial 16S ribosomal RNA". It matches the Rfam family "Bacterial small subunit ribosomal RNA", at positions 524 to 768 of the family's 1533-position model. The record is from RNAcentral. Lineage: Bacteria; Pseudomonadati; Pseudomonadota; Alphaproteobacteria; Caulobacterales; Caulobacteraceae.
UACGAAGGGGGCUAGCGUUGCUCGGAAUUACUGGGCGUAAAGGGCGCGUAGGCGGACAGUUAAGUCAGAGGUGAAAUCCCAGGGCUCAACCCUGGAAUUGCCUUUGAUACUGGCUGUCUUGAGUAUGGGAGAGGUAAGCGGAACUCCGAGUGUAGAGGUGAAAUUCGUAGAUAUUCGGAAGAACACCAGUGGCGAAGGCGGCUUACUGGCCCAUUACUGACGCUGAGGCGCGAAAGCGUGGGGAG